GACGAACGCUGGCGGCGUGCCUAAUACAUGCAAGUCGAACGCUUCUUUCCUCCCGAGUGCUUGCACUCAAUUGGAAAGAGGAGUGGCGGACGGGUGAGUAACACGUGGGUAACCUACCCAUCAGAGGGGGAUAACACUUGGAAACAGGUGCUAAUAUCGCAUAACAGUUUAUGCCGCAUGGCAUAAGAGUGAAAGGCGCUUUCGGGUGUCGCUGAUGGAUGGACCCGCGGUGCAUUAGCUAGUUGGUGAGGUAACGGCUCACCAAGGCCACGAUGCAUAGCCGACCGGAGAGGGGGAUCGGCCACACGGGGACUGAGACACGGCCCAGACGCCUACGGGAGGCAGCAGUAGGGAAUCUUCGGCAAUGGACGAAAGUCUGACCGAGCAACGCCGCGUGAGUGAAGAAGGUUUUCGGAUCGUAAAGCUCUGUUGUUAGAGAAGAACAAGGACGUUAGUAACUGAACGUCCCCUGACGGUAUCUAACCAGAAAGACACGGCUAACUACGUG
Molecule: ribosomal RNA, 508 nt
Filed under: uncultured bacterium
Lineage: Bacteria
Description: partial 16S ribosomal RNA
Rfam family: Bacterial small subunit ribosomal RNA
Source: RNAcentral